RNAcentral lists this ribosomal RNA (2541 nucleotides) under Klebsiella pneumoniae. RNAcentral describes it as "bacterial LSU rRNA". It matches the Rfam family "Bacterial large subunit ribosomal RNA", at positions 399 to 2925 of the family's 2925-position model. Lineage: Bacteria; Pseudomonadati; Pseudomonadota; Gammaproteobacteria; Enterobacterales; Enterobacteriaceae. The record is from RNAcentral.
GUGAACUCGAAGAGUAGGGCGGGACACGUGGUAUCCUGUCUGAAUAUGGGGGGACCAUCCUCCAAGGCUAAAUACUCCUGACUGACCGAUAGUGAACCAGUACCGUGAGGGAAAGGCGAAAAGAACCCCGGCGAGGGGAGUGAAAAAGAACCUGAAACCGUGUACGUACAAGCAGUGGGAGCACCUUCGGGUGUGACUGCGUACCUUUUGUAUAAUGGGUCAGCGACUUAUAUUCUGUAGCAAGGUUAACCGUAUAGGGGAGCCGCAGGGAAACCGAGUCUUAACUGGGCGUUAAGUUGCAGGGUAUAGACCCGAAACCCGGUGAUCUAGCCAUGGGCAGGUUGAAGGUUGGGUAACACUAACUGGAGGACCGAACCGACUAAUGUUGAAAAAUUAGCGGAUGACUUGUGGCUGGGGGUGAAAGGCCAAUCAAACCGGGAGAUAGCUGGUUCUCCCCGAAAGCUAUUUAGGUAGCGCCUCGUGAACUCAUCUUCGGGGGUAGAGCACUGUUUCGGCUAGGGGGUCAUCCCGACUUACCAACCCGAUGCAAACUACGAAUACCGAAGAAUGUUAUCACGGGAGACACACGGCGGGUGCUAACGUCCGUCGUGAAGAGGGAAACAACCCAGACCGCCAGCUAAGGUCCCAAAGUCAUGGUUAAGUGGGAAACGAUGUGGGAAGGCACAGACAGCCAGGAUGUUGGCUUAGAAGCAGCCAUCAUUUAAAGAAAGCGUAAUAGCUCACUGGUCGAGUCGGCCUGCGCGGAAGAUGUAACGGGGCUAAACCAUGCACCGAAGCUGCGGCAGCGACACUAUGUGUUGUUGGGUAGGGGAGCGUUCUGUAAGCCUGCGAAGGUGUGCUGUGAGGCAUGCUGGAGGUAUCAGAAGUGCGAAUGCUGACAUAAGUAACGAUAAAGCGGGUGAAAAGCCCGCUCGCCGGAAGACCAAGGGUUCCUGUCCAACGUUAAUCGGGGCAGGGUGAGUCGACCCCUAAGGCGAGGCCGAAAGGCGUAGUCGAUGGGAAACAGGUUAAUAUUCCUGUACUUGGUGUUACUGCGAAGGGGGGACGGAGAAGGCUAUGUUAGCCGGGCGACGGUUGUCCCGGUUUAAGCAUGUAGGCUGAUUGUCCAGGCAAAUCCGGAUAAUCAAGGCUGAGGUGUGAUGACGAGGCACUACGGUGCUGAAGUAACAAAUGCCCUGCUUCCAGGAAAAGCCUCUAAGGAUCAGGUAACAUCAAAUCGUACCCCAACCCGACACAGGUGGUCAGGUAGAGUAUACCAAGGCGCUUGAGAGAACUCGGGUGAAGGAACUAGGCAAAAUGGUGCCGUAACUUCGGGAGAAGGCACGCUGGUGUGUAGGUGAAGCCCCUGCGGGUGGAGCUGAGACCAGUCGAAGAUACCAGCUGGCUGCAACUGUUUAUUAAAAACACAGCACUGUGCAAACACGAAAGUGGACGUAUACGGUGUGACGCCUGCCCGGUGCCGGAAGGUUAAUUGAUGGGGUUAUCCGUAAGGAGAAGCUCUUGAUCGAAGCCCCGGUAAACGGCGGCCGUAACUAUAACGGUCCUAAGGUAGCGAAAUUCCUUGUCGGGUAAGUUCCGACCUGCACGAAUGGCGUAAUGAUGGCCAGGCUGUCUCCACCCGAGACUCAGUGAAAUUGAACUCGCUGUGAAGAUGCAGUGUACCCGCGGCAAGACGGAAAGACCCCGUGAACCUUUACUAUAGCUUGACACUGAACAUUGAGCCUUGAUGUGUAGGAUAGGUGGGAGGCUUUGAAGCGUGGACGCCAGUCUGCGUGGAGCCAACCUUGAAAUACCACCCUUUAAUGUUUGAUGUUCUAACGUUGGCCCCUGACCGGGGUUGCGGACAGUGUCUGGUGGGUAGUUUGACUGGGGCGGUCUCCUCCCAAAGCGUAACGGAGGAGCACGAAGGUAGCUAAUCCUGGUCGGACAUCAGGAGGUUAGUGCAAUGGCAUAAGCUAGCUUGACUGCGAGCGUGACGGCGCGAGCAGGUGCGAAAGCAGGUCAUAGUGAUCCGGUGGUUCUGAAUGGAAGGGCCAUCGCUCAACGGAUAAAAGGUACUCCGGGGAUAACAGGCUGAUACCGCCCAAGAGUUCAUAUCGACGGCGGUGUUUGGCACCUCGAUGUCGGCUCAUCACAUCCUGGGGCUGAAGUAGGUCCCAAGGGUAUGGCUGUUCGCCAUUUAAAGUGGUACGCGAGCUGGGUUUAGAACGUCGUGAGACAGUUCGGUCCCUAUCUGCCGUGGGCGCUGGAGAAUUGAGGGGGGCUGCUCCUAGUACGAGAGGACCGGAGUGGACGCAUCACUGGUGUUCGGGUUGUCAUGCCAAUGGCACUGCCCGGUAGCUAAAUGCGGAAGAGAUAAGUGCUGAAAGCAUCUAAGCACGAAACUUGCCCCGAGAUGAGUUCUCCCUGAGACUUUAAGUCUCCUGAAGGAACGUUGAAGACGAUGACGUUGAUAGGCCGGGUGUGUAAGCGCAGCGAUGCGUUGAGCUAACCGGUACUAAUGAACCGUGAGGCUUAACC